CUGGAUGUUCCUCUGAGUCAUACUCCGGGUGAUAUGACUAGAGACACAUUCAGCU
This 55-nucleotide microRNA precursor is filed under the name Heligmosomoides polygyrus. Its description in RNAcentral is "microRNA hpo-mir-45 precursor". Its record names the gene hpo-mir-45. The record is from miRBase by way of RNAcentral. Lineage: Eukaryota; Metazoa; Nematoda; Chromadorea; Rhabditida; Heligmosomidae.